This 252-nucleotide ribosomal RNA is filed under the name uncultured bacterium. Its description in RNAcentral is "partial 16S ribosomal RNA". It matches the Rfam family "Bacterial small subunit ribosomal RNA", at positions 524 to 776 of the family's 1533-position model. The record is from RNAcentral.
UACGUAGGUGACCAGCGUUGUCCGGAUUUACUGGGCGUAAAGAGCGCGCAGGCGGUCGUUCAAGUCGAGUGUGAAAGCCCCCGGCUCAACUGGGGAGGGUCAUUCGAUACUGAUCGACUGGAAGGCAGGAGAGGGAAGCGGAAUUCCCGGUGUAGUGGUGAAAUGCGUAGAUAUCGGAAGAACACCAGUGGCGAAGGCGGCUCACUGGUCCGGUACUGACGCUGAGGUGCGAAAGCGUGGGGAGCAAACAGG